RNAcentral lists this ribosomal RNA (294 nucleotides) under uncultured bacterium. RNAcentral describes it as "partial 16S ribosomal RNA". It matches the Rfam family "Bacterial small subunit ribosomal RNA", at positions 775 to 1067 of the family's 1533-position model. The record is from RNAcentral.
GGAUUAGAUACCCUGGUAGUCCACGCUGUAAACGAUGUCUACUAGCCGUCGGGGUCCUUAGUGACUUUGGUGGCGCAGCUAACGCGAUAAGUAGACCGCCUGGGGAGUACGGCCGCAAGGUUAAAACUCAAAUGAAUUGACGGGGGCCCGCACAAGCGGUGGAGCAUGUGGUUUAAUUCGAUGCAACGCGAAGAACCUUACCAGGUCUUGACAUCCUCGGAAUUUGGCAGAGAUGCCUUAGUGCCUUCGGGAGCCGAGUGACAGGUGCUGCAUGGCCGUCGUCAGCUCGUGCCG